This 496-nucleotide ribosomal RNA is filed under the name uncultured bacterium. RNAcentral describes it as "partial 16S ribosomal RNA". It matches the Rfam family "Bacterial small subunit ribosomal RNA", at positions 29 to 507 of the family's 1533-position model. The record is from RNAcentral.
AUGAACGCUGGCGGCGUGCCUAAUACAUGCCAGUCGAGCGAACAGACGAGGAGCUUGCUCCUCUGACGUUAGCGGCGGACGGGUGAGUAACACGUGGAUAACCUACCUAUAAGACUGGGAUAACUUCGGGAAACCGGAGCUAAUACCGGAUAAUAUAUUUAACCGCAUGGUUCAAUAGUGAAAGACGGUUUUGCUGUCACUUAUAGAUGGAUCCGCGCCGCAUUAGCUAGUUGGUAAGGUAACGGCUUACCAAGGCAACGAUGCGUAGCCGACCUGAGAGGGUGAUCGGCCACACUGGAACUGAGACACGGUCCAGACUCCUACGGGAGGCAGCAGUAGGGAAUCUUCCGCAAUGGGCGAAAGCCUGACGGAGCAACGCCGCGUGAGUGAUGAGGGUCUUCGGAUCGUAAAACUCUGUUAUUAGGGAAGAACAAAUGUGUAAGUAACUAUGCACGUCUUGACGGUACCUAAUCAGAAAGCCACGGCUAACUACGUG